CCCUUAGAUGUUCUGGGCCGCACGCGCGCUACACUGAUGCAUUCAACGAGUCUAAAACCUGCUCUGAUAGGGGUGGGUAAUCUUUUGAAUGUGCAUCGUGAUUGGGAUAGAUGAUUGCAAUUUUUCAUCUUCAACGAGGAAUGCCUAGUAAACGCAAGUCAUCAGCUUGCAUUGAUUACGUCCCUGCCCUUUGUACACACCGCCCGUCGCUCCUACCGAUUGAAUGAUCCGAUGAAUAUCAUGGAUUGAGGAUGCAAGCAGGUUCGCCUGUCUUCAUCUUCGAGAAGUGAAGUAAAUCUUAUCAUCUAGAGGAAGGAGAAGUCGUAACA
RNAcentral lists this ribosomal RNA (329 nucleotides) under uncultured eukaryote. RNAcentral's name for it is "partial 18S ribosomal RNA". It matches the Rfam family "Eukaryotic small subunit ribosomal RNA", at positions 1470 to 1796 of the family's 1831-position model. The record is from RNAcentral.